CCUCCAGGGGCAGCUGUCAACAUCUGAGCCUGCAGUUAAGGCCAGACGUGGGGGUGGGAGCUCAGGCCACAAUGACUUGGCUCUCGGCU
Non-coding RNA from Otolemur garnettii (small-eared galago), 89 nucleotides. The record is from Rfam. NCBI's taxonomy places the organism in Eukaryota, Metazoa, Chordata, Mammalia, Primates, Galagidae.